This 103-nucleotide ribosomal RNA is filed under the name uncultured bacterium. RNAcentral describes it as "partial 16S ribosomal RNA". It matches the Rfam family "Bacterial small subunit ribosomal RNA", at positions 1380 to 1482 of the family's 1533-position model. The record is from RNAcentral.
CUUGUACACACCGCCCGUCACACCAUGGGAGUGGGUUUCACCAGAAGUAGGUAGCCUAACCGCAAGGGGGGCGCUUACCACGGUGAGAUUCAUGACUGGGGUG